GUGCUCACUUUAGCAGCACAUAUACUAAAAUUGGAAUGAUACAGAGAAGAUUAGCAUGGCCCCUGCGCAAGAAUGACAUGCAAAUUUACGAAGCGUUCCAUAUUUUU
RNAcentral lists this small nuclear RNA (107 nucleotides) under Piliocolobus tephrosceles (Ugandan red Colobus). The record is from RNAcentral. Lineage: Eukaryota; Metazoa; Chordata; Mammalia; Primates; Cercopithecidae.